This 240-nucleotide ribosomal RNA is filed under the name Acinetobacter baumannii. RNAcentral describes it as "partial 23S ribosomal RNA". It matches the Rfam family "Bacterial large subunit ribosomal RNA", at positions 753 to 991 of the family's 2925-position model. The record is from RNAcentral. Lineage: Bacteria; Pseudomonadati; Pseudomonadota; Gammaproteobacteria; Moraxellales; Moraxellaceae.
UGGGUAACACUAACUGGAGGACCGAACCCACUGUCGUUGAAAAGCCAGGGGAUGACUUGUGGAUAGGGGUGAAAGGCUAAUCAAGCCUGGUGAUAGCUGGUUCUCCCCGAAAGCUAUUUAGGUAGCGCCUCGGACGAAUACCAUAGGGGGUAGAGCACUGUUUCGGCUAGGGGGGCAUCCCGACUUACCAAACCGAUGCAAACUCCGAAUACCUAUGAGUACUAUCCGGGAGACAGACUG